This 294-nucleotide unclassified non-coding RNA is filed under the name plant metagenome. RNAcentral describes it as "partial contains 5.8S ribosomal RNA, internal transcribed spacer 2, and large subunit ribosomal RNA". The record is from RNAcentral.
GUCCACGACGAUUUCACCCGGGAGCUGCCGCUGGGGACUGACGUUCAGUCGGUCGUUGAUACCGGUGUCCAGGUUCGGUCCGAGCCAAGUCGCCGUAUUACCCAAAUUCGUAUACCGCCCGAACGCUGUCCCAACCGGCUGAAUCAGCGGAUUCGAUGCUGGGAAGGGAUUACUCAGUUGAGCGCCCGGGAUACCCUGUAACACCGGUUCGACAUUCGUGGCUGCGUUGAAGCCAUACGUGGGCAGCGCAUCGACAGUCCCGUUGAUUACCUCCGCUGGAAUGGAGUAGCGCGC